GACAGAGGGUGCAAACGUUUGUUCGGAAUUACUGGGCGUAAAGCGAGUGUAGGCGGUUCGGUAAGUCGGAUGUGAAAGCCCCGGGCUCAACCCGGGAAGUGCACUCGAUACUGCCGAGCUAGAGUAUCGGAGAGGUUGGUGGAAUUCUCGGUGUAGAGGUGAAAUUCGUAGAUAUCGAGAGGAACACCGGUGGCGAAGGCGGCCAACUGGACGAAUACUGACGCUGAGACUCGAAAGCGUGGGGAGCAAACAGG
Molecule: ribosomal RNA, 254 nt
Filed under: uncultured bacterium
Lineage: Bacteria
Description: partial 16S ribosomal RNA
Rfam family: Bacterial small subunit ribosomal RNA
Source: RNAcentral